AAUAUAUGGAGGGUUUGUUUAACAAAACUCUUAUGUCUUCCAACGGAGUUAUCGACUGUUACGUCAUCGAUAUACGGAAGGACUAUAUUGUAGGUGACUUUUGAGACUGUGAUAUUGACCUGUAUUUUUUUGAGAUGGAUGUUUGUCUAGCAAAAAAAAUCAUUUGGAGAGUCCUUUUGCAU
This 182-nucleotide small RNA is filed under the name Arabidopsis thaliana (thale cress). RNAcentral describes it as "ATSL084080". The record is from RNAcentral. Lineage: Eukaryota; Viridiplantae; Streptophyta; Magnoliopsida; Brassicales; Brassicaceae.